GCGAGUGAAGCGGGAAAAGCUCAAAUUUAAAAUCUGGCGGUCUUUGGCCGUCCGAGUUGUAGUCUGGAGAAGUGCUUUCCGCGCUGGACCGUGUAUAAGUCUCUUGGAACAGAGCGUCAUAGAGGGUGAGAAUCCCGUCUUUGACACGGACUACCAGUGCUUUGUGAUGCGCUCUCAAAGAGUCGAGUUGUUUGGGAAUGCAGCUCAAAAUGGGUGGUGAAUUCCAUCUAAAGCUAAAUAUUGGCGAGAGACCGAUAGCGAACAAGUACCGUGAGGGAAAGAUGAAAAGCACUUUGGAAAGAGAGUUAAACAGUACGUGAAAUUGCUGAAAGGGAAACGCUUGAAGUCAGUCGCGUUGUCCGGAACUCAGCCUUGCUUUUGCUUGGUGCACUUUCCGGAUGACGGGUCAGCAUCGAUUUUGACCGUCGGAAAAGGGCUGGAGUAAUGUGGCACCUUCGGGUGUGUUAUAGACUCUGGUCGCAUACGGCGGUUGGG
RNAcentral lists this ribosomal RNA (495 nucleotides) under Ganoderma sp. RNAcentral describes it as "partial large subunit ribosomal RNA". It matches the Rfam family "Eukaryotic large subunit ribosomal RNA", at positions 89 to 584 of the family's 3401-position model. Lineage: Eukaryota; Fungi; Basidiomycota; Agaricomycetes; Polyporales; Polyporaceae. The record is from RNAcentral.